GCACAAUGUUUUUUAAAUUGUUUUAUUAAAAUGUUGACAUGUUGAAUAAAUGACGAUACACAUAAACGAGGUAAGCAGAAUAUCUUAUAAUUUGUUUUUAAGCCAAUUGUAAUUAUGUGUAUAAUAUUAUUUUAUAGUAAUAAUAAUACAGAAUUCAGUGUUGAAUCAAUGACAAAUUAAACUGUAUUGAAUUGAUAAAUUUGUUUGACUUUAUCAUUAGGAAAAGAAUUAUUGCAAGAAAAUUCCCAGUUGAUAUUUGACUGUUUACUGAAUAUCCUAGCAUUCACGAAAUAUAUGUCGUGUUAAAAAAUAUAUCCAGUUUGAUCGACAUGAUGCUCCAAAACUCUAUUUAUACAUGUUAUGUGUCUGAGUUGCUGCAAUAAUCUGUUAAAAAGACACUUCGAAUCAAUAAUUACCAGUGAAUUAUAAGUUUUUAUAUUGAUGGGAAUAAAACCAUGAACUUAUAACGACGGCCUCUAUUAUACGAUCGACAAGAUUGAUAUAUCUCAAAGUUUGAGUACGUAGUAGUUUGCUUCUUUCAUAUUUGUUCUUGUAUAUUUUCAGAAAAUUUGUAAGUAAAAAUUUAGAUUGGCCCUUCUUUGUACCAUUGUUUUUGGAAUAUUGUAGGUUGAAUGGAAAAUCUCAGAUCGAUAAAAAUAUUCUAAUGUUGUUUUUUUAUCUUAAAUAUUUUAGCAAUGAAUCGAUACAUUCCGGCUUAAGAUUAUCCAGAUGAAGGAUUCAGCUGGGGUUCUGUUGUUCAGAAGAGAAAAAACUUUGAACAUGGCUUACGUGAGUGUCGUUUCAACUAUAUUCAUAUGUGUCUUUAAGGAUUUUCGCUUGUCAUGUUUAAGAUUUUUUUGUCAGAUUUCCGAAGUCCUCUAGUUUUAUCCGUUUGAAUGCUUUAAAUAAUUUGGUCCAUUGACCCCCAUUUUUCUUUUUAUAAAUCUUUUACAUGUAUAAUUAUAAUCCAUUGUAAAAGUCUUAUAAAAUCUUAUUCAUUUUUUAAUAGUUUUUGAGAAAUUUAACUUGUCAAUGAUAAAGCAAUGAAAAAUCAAGAGAGAACAUUUUUCCGCCAAACUUUCAAUGGAUAAUAUAUCGACAACAAAUGCAUUGACCUCUAUAUUUUUUUUGGUAUUUUUGAUUCCUUAAUUAAUUGCCUAUCAAUAGAUACUAGUGUUAUGGAAAGCUAAUCAUUUUGAAGCUAUUUUGAACUUCAUUAUAUGUUUCUUGUUAUAAAAUUCAAAAUACUUUUAAAUUGAAUGCAUCAAGCGGAUGAUCCAGAAAAGACGGCAACUGCUGCUUGCAAAGGUUUAGAAACGUACGUCCAAUACUAUAUUCAUAUUUGUCAUUGAACAUAAUUCUAAUACCUCCAUAAGGAAUUCUGUUAGAAAAUAAUAAUCCUGUUGUUGUACUGAAGUAAGUUUAUUUUCCGAAUAUUAAUUAUUUUUUUGAUGAUCUAUUUUACAAAUUCAAAUGACGUCAUUUUUUUGUCAUUUUGUACUAUUUCAAAUAUGACGUCACUUGGCGUUGAGGUUGAAACUUAUUCGAAUGUGUCUACAUUUUGUGUUGCUAAUGUCUGGUUAUGUAAUGUAUUUCAGUUGUUUCCUGUAAUUAGUUAAUACUUCAGUUUUAUCAUGUACAGCUUUUGUAUAGUAAUUUUAUAAAUUUACUGUUUGAAAAAGUAUAAAUUAUUCUAAAUUAUAGAGAUGUUCUGGUAUCUAAGAGAAAACCCUGACCGUUUUUGGUCCUCGAUGCUGUUCGACUAUGUGCUUGUUUCGGCUUUCAAACUUUUGUAUCUUUUAGAUCUUGUGUGAACAAAAUGCACUUCUGGCGUAUUAAAAUUUUGAACUUGUUGCCUUUUGUUGGCUGUUUUUGUGUGUUUCUUUGUCAAUUGUGUUCUCCAAUUCAUUUAUAUUGUAGUCCUGUAAUGAUGUGUUGUCAUUUUAAUGUUAUAUUUCACAUGGCUAUAAAAGAGGGAGGUUUGGCAUGCCACAAAACCAGGUUCAACCCCCCAUUUUUUUCCUUUAAAAAUGUCCUGUACCAAGUCAGGAAUAUGGCCAUUGUUAUAUUAUAGUUCGUUUCUGUGUGUAUUACAUUGUAACGUUGCAUCGUUUGUUUUCUAUUAUUUUUAAGUGUAAAUUCACAUUGCGAUAAGACGUGUCACGGUACUUGUCUAUCCCAAAUUUGUGUAUUUGGUUUUGAUGUUAUAUUUGUUAUUCUCGUGGGAUUUUGUCUGAUGCUUGGUCCGUUUCUGUGUGUGUUACAUUGUAUUGUUGUGUCGUUGUUCUCCUCUUAUAUUUAUUGCGUUUCCCUCAGUUUUAGUUUGUUACCCCGAUUUUGUUUUUUGUCCUCUACUGUCGCCUUUAUCUAUUGCAUCAGUAUUAAAGUAAAACGUUUUUGUCAUAUGUUCCAUUUCGUCAGAGUGUUUUUACUCUGAAUUCUGAUACAUCAACCAACAUUUGGUUAGAUAUGGUGAGAUUAUUUCAAGUGUUAUAUCUAGAUGUUAAGUUUGUACUAUAAGAUCAGCAAUAGAGUUUCUGACUUUCUGCAUUUAUCCCCUUUUCAAAAAUAAAUGACUCUAUUUUAUCAUCAAUGACUGAAUUAAGCAAAAUUGAAUGAAUAAUAGUAAUAAUCGUAAUCAUCUAUUUUGACAAUGAAAAGAACAAAAUUACCAAAGCACGAUAUUGAUAUUAGCGAGGGAUACACGAGAUUCCUUAGAAAAGAAGAUUUGAAUGAAAACAAAUAAUGUUUCAACCAAUCAUAACUAUUUUGAAAUUGGUAACUUGCUUUCGGUUUGUCGCAUAUGUAUAGUUUUACAAUAAGUGUUCGUAUGCAUAGGUUUAAUGAAUUGUCAUGUACUGAAGUUGUCAGUCUUUCAAUGCCAUAAUUGCAUGACCGUUUAAAUGAGGAUGAGACCCCCCUGGUCUUUCAAUGUCCAUAUAAUUCAACUUAAUCACCGACUCUGCAUAUAUAAAGGUUGUAUUAGAAGGAUUUCCAAAAAUAAUGUCAUCUACGACUAUUUUUGGGCCCUCCGUAAACAUAGAAAACAGGAAGUGUACCCAAAUUUGUUUUAGUCUCGUUUGUAUCUACCUAUUAACUAACUAUCUGCUAAAUAUUAAAGAGAUUGAGAGAUCAGGGAGCUCUCACCAUUGCCCUGUGCCCCUUGUCCUGAAAUUUUCACAAUUUUUUGCUGAAAAUGACAAUCUAAGCCCUCUGAACAUGACAUUAUUCUCAAAAAUUCUUUUGUUACAAUCUUUAUAUAUACUACAGAGUCUAUGAAUUCGUCCAAUUUUAUGUACAUUUCGUUAUUGAAGCGGUCUUGGGUAGGUUUACACUAUAUAUUUAUGUUUUUUUGGCUUUCUAUAUUUAUUUCUAUUUAUAUUUCUAAAUGUUUCUAGAGGGAUCGGUUUUUGUUUAUGUUUUAAAAUAUAUUAGAUUUAAAAUAACAUUUUGAUGUUGUUUUAUUGAUAAAAACAUAUAUAUCCUGGUAGUUUGGUAUUUUUGCUAUUUUAGUGUUUGUUAUAAGGUAAGGUGGUUUCGGUCAUACAGUGACCAAUGCAAACAUCUACGUAAUUUGGUCUCUUGAUUUUGCCAUUGCUUUAGGUUCUUUCCGUUUAGAAUUUUCCACGGUGUUCAGUAUUUUUGUUAUUUUACUUUUUCCAGUUACAUCACUUCUUUUCAUUUCAAUUUGAUUUGCUACUGAGGAUAAGCGUUUCCUUUACAUGCAAACCGUGUCACAACAUCAGAGUUAAUAAUAUACUAUGGUGCAGAACCAUGAAAACGGAAUUACUUCAAACCCAAAAAAUUAUGCAAAAUACGCGACAGCUAUCUAUUAAUAGGAGUUACAACAAUCUGAAUGUUUCAAGUAUUUUAAAAUUUUAUUUAUUAACAGAAAUGUUGCAAAACAUAAUCGUAAAAUUCAUGAGUUUAAAUGUUUAUAUAAACUGCUGAUUUCAUUUUUGUUAUCUAUUAGAUAAAAAGAUAAACAAAGAAUUUAUAAUCCAUAUGUUCUACUUUUUUAUGUCAUUUAAUGUCAUGUAUAUUAAUAGAUAUGAAAUUGGAUUAGUUGAAAUAAUAGUAUAAGAAUUUAAAUGUUUAUAUAAACUGCUGAUUUCAUUUUUGUUAUGAUCAUAUUUCAUCUAUUAGAUAAAAAGAUAAACAAACAAUUUAUAAUCCAAAUUUUCUACUUUUUUAUGUCAUUUAAUGUCAUGUAUAUUAAUAUAUAUGAAAUUGGAUUCGUUGAAAUAAUAGUAUAAGAAUUUAAAUUACUCAAGUUAAGUUUUAUCAGUUAUAUCAAAACAUCGUCUCCUUAUGUUUCUUCGGUCUUCUCAUACUUAUUCCAAAAUCGUUCAAGCAUGUCAUUAAUUCGGUUUUCGUAUUUUUUUCGUCUCAAUUUUAUAGUGUAAUAGCCUUCAUCUUAAGUGCUUUGAAAGCAAUUGCCUUCUUUGACCUCUUAGAAAAGAAAUAAUUCUUAAAAACUUAAGUAAAGAUUACUUUAAGACGGAACCAGUCCUAAAUUGUUUAAAUUAUCAUGAUUAAAAAAGAGGGACGACAAAGGGGGAUUAACAUUGUUGAAAUAUAAUCUUUCAGAAUAGAUAUUUUAAUUCUAUCUUAUAUACCUUCAUGCCAAAUCCAAUGCAAGAAAAACUCCGUCGUCUGAAGAGCGCCUAAUUCACCAUUAAGAUCUUCCGACAACACUAUAUCAAUUUUUUAUCCUCCAAAUACAGGUUCAAGCUAUGCAGGUAUCAAAUUGUUUAAUAACAAGCACAUUUUAACUAACAAAAACUCUGAUAUAUGCUUACCUUGCAUAUGCUUAGGCACUUUCAAACAUUUUUAAAAAAUGACAUUUUCUGUUUUACGUUUCACGGUUUCAAUGAUAUUUAUUUUGAUGUUAAAUGCAAAUAGCGAAUAACUAUAACAAUAUCAAUAUUCUUGUGAAGUUUUACGAUGAUCAGUGUAAAAAUAUAAUACGAUAGUAACAGAACUCCGAUCUUUUUUGACGCAAAACGUUACGUUGAAAACGGAAAAAAGGAAUCAUUAAGUGUUUGAAUUUUGAAUUUAAAAUCCUAUUUUUUUUUUCUUUAUUUAGAGUCUAUGUAAUAAUUUGUAUGACAAUCAUACACAAAAUGGGAUUCGUACCAAAAUCGUUCGUAACGCGUAAAAGAAAACCUUUAAUAUUCCAAAUAAUUGUUAAAAAAUAUUGUAUUCAAAUUGGUUUUAAGCAAAGACAAAAUGACACUCAAAAAGUUUAAAUGUAAUAAAUAGAAAUUAAUGAUUCCAUUUUUAUAUAAUUUUGCACAAAAUCAUAUUAUUCCUAACUGUGUAUGCUACCUUGAUACUAAAUCUAUUUGUUAGGUACUGAUUGAUAUUUUUAAACUUUCAUACAUCGCUAUUUUGUUAAUUUUCAGUAGUAUCAGCUCGCUUUCAGGAAUUAUAAGUUCUCUGAGAUCCAGUUUUAUGUGUUAAUCUGAGAAGGUCACUUUUCUUUUUAAACGGAACUUAAUAGUUCCCUUAUGAUUUACUGUGACAAUGUCUCAAUUAACGAAAUUAUUGAGUAUCAUCAAACAUGUUUACGCUCGCCACAUUUCUAUGUUUGUCCAAAGUCAGUAACUUGUAAUCCAGUGUUGCUCUAUAUUGUUGUAUUUCGGUUGGUUUUUUUCUGUCUUGUUAUACACAUUAAACUAUACCUUUAUAUUUCUCUCGUGAAUUGUUUUGUAUUUUUAAUGUCGGGGGCUUUUUUAACUUUAAACACAUGCCACACAGAUGAACAAGUCAUCAAUAUGAUGUAGGUUUAUUUUUGCUUAAUUUUUGCUUAUUUGUCGACAACUUUGGAAAGUAAACUUUUCAACAAAUUGUCGGCAUUCAAAUGGGAACGAACUCUGUGCCUCUUUUGCGGACCUUUUCUUAUUUUCGAAUGAAUCUGAUGUUCUGCAGACAUUAUCAAAACAAGAUUAUUAAUGCAAAAAAACAAGAUAAUUUAAUUUCACAUUCAGAUACAUUGAUUAUGUUCUUUACAUUAACAAUCUAAACUUUUUCUGACUUCUAUUAAUAUAUUCUUCAGGAACUAGGGAUAAAUAACACACUUGGAAAUCCUACAAAUACACUAAGUACGCUAACGAAGUAGGAGAUCCUGGAAAACCUCAAAUCUAAUCUCCUUUGGUGUUAAUCCAAAGGAUGAAGACCAGGAUCUUCCAUACUUAUAUUGGAUUCCUAAGCUUCACAAGAAUCCUUAUAAAGAAAGGUAUAUUGCAAGUUCUUCAAAGUGUUCCACUAAACCCCUUUCUAAAGUUCGUACUGCCAUACUCACUGCAGUCAAAGAAGGACUUCAGAAAUUCUGAAACAGCAUAUUCAAGAAGUGGUGUUAAUCAGAUGUGGAUACUGAAAAAUUCAAAAGAGAUAUUGGUGAAUUUACAAUCUCAAUCAUUAAAACAUUGUACCAACAUUAAAACCUUGGAUUUUUCAACUCUUUAUACGACUAUUUCACAAACUAAACUUAAAGCUCGAAUGAAAGAACUCGUCAGCUUAUGUUUCGUUAACAAACAUGGCACUAGACGUUUUACAUAUCUAGUUUUGGGCUGGAAUUCAGCUUACUUUGUGAAAAAUCAUACAGAGUCAAGGAGAAAAUAUACCGACGAGGAUAUCACUGCCAUGCUGUCACCCAAGUACCAGAAUCUAUGAAAAACGAGACGAUUUUAUUUUUGACAUAAUCAAUUCUCCAUCUUAGUAGCAAUAUAGAACGUCCCAUGCAUAUGGGGUAAAUAUUUCCUACUCAAAGCUUGUUUCUGCUAUUCAGUCUAUACAAAACGUUUCCAGUGUAUUUUUGAUCCUGACUUAUUUAAUAAAACGUUGCUUAUAUAUGUUGCUAAGGUUCUUUUCAUUAAGGAUUUUCCUCGGAGUUCGGUACUUUUGUUGUUUUACUUUUGGUAGUUCUUCCUGUCAUAUCUUUUCGAUUGCCGAUUUGCUUUGGCAGACAUGCGUCACUUCUGCGUGCGAAUCAUGUUAAAACAGAAGGGUAAAUAAAAUACGGAUUUGCAGAUCAUUAAAAAAAAAAAAAAAGCUAAAAUUAAAUCCCAGAAUAUGUAAAAUAAACUACUGAAAGGAGUUUCACACGAUCUUAGUGUUUCAAUUAAUUUAUAUUUGAAAUAUUGCAAAACAUGUGGCACUUAAAAGUAAUACGUUUAAAUAGUUACAUAACUGCUGAUGACAUUUAUGUUAUGAUCUUAUUUCAUCUAUUAGACAAAAAGAUUAACUCUUGGCAUUUACUUUAGGCAUUGUAGAGAGAAAUGUUUAAAACUAAAUUGGGAAAAUAAGAUUGAAAAGAUGAAUAAAUUAUUUUGUUCUUGGCAAAAAUAAAAUCUUACUAUUUCUGGAAAAAAAUUGAUUAUUAAAACAUUUAUUGUGUCCAUUUUUACUUUUGUGGGAUCUGCUUGCAGAGUUCCGGAGGAAUUUUUAAAAGAAAGAGAAAAAAGUUGUUUUAAAUUUGUUUGGGAUAAUAAACCAGAUUAAGUAAAGGAAAAGAAAUUCAAUUAUUGGUCCAUAUGAAAAGGAGGGAUUGGAUAUGAUAGAUAUAAGAAGUUAUUUCGCUGCUUAAAAUGCUAUGUGGGUAAAAAGACAGAAACAAACAGGAAGGAUAAGACAGACGAAAGCAUUAAAAAUAUCCCAGAUUUUUAUAAAGUUAUUAUAAAAUGUAGAAAAUUAACUGGUGGAGGUCUAACAAAAAAACCAGAAACAUUUAAAGAUGUAAGAAAACAAAUACUUUGGCACAAUAAAUUUAUUAAAUUUGAAAAUAAAGCUAUACUUUUUUUUAAUGGAUUAAAAGCGAACUUAUUAAUGUAAAUGAUAUCUUAGAUGAAAAAGACUUCAUUUUGAAUAACCUAAAAAAUAAAUCAAACUGAACAGCUGAAAUUAAUUUAGUAAAGAAAUCUAUAUCAAAAGACUGUGCAGUAAUUUUAAAAUCGGAAAAUUCUAUAAAAAGUAUGGUUAAUAUAAAAAGAAACCAAUUUAUAUUGGAUGGUUUACCUGUAACAAAUUAGAAUCAUUUACAAAUAAUUUAAUUUUGGAUGUAACGCGUCUUCUAAUUGGCUGACGUUAUUUUGUUAUCAGCCUAUAGACAUAAUUUAGUCAUGUGACCGUGACGUCAUCAACGUUCUUUCAUGGUUUUCUACGGUUUAAAAUGGAAUUUAGAAUUAAAUUAUAAGAAAUGACUGUAAUAUUUUUUCUGUCUAUUCGACAUAACAUAAAAACUGUGGUGAACACUGGUAAAUAACCCGCUACGCGCGUUAUUCAGCGUGCACUAAAUCUUUUAUGUUAUUUUGUAAUAGACAGAAAAAACAUUACAGUCAUUCCUUAAGUAAACUUUUAUAUGAGUCUCUGAUAAAUAAACAAUGUAACCAGCUAUUGGACCCCACAAAUGGCUGAGUAUAUUUGAUAUAGAUGAUGUGUUAUAUCAAAACUAUUUAUAUGAAUUUUUAUUCAGAUAGUUAAAAGAAAAUAAACUUAGAAUUUUCAGAUGGAAAUUACUACAACAUAUUCUACCUACAAAGAAACUUUUAUGCAGGUGGAAAAUUGUAAUCAAUAGUUCUUGUAAUUUUUGUCUUCUUUAUACUGUGUCCGUAUUUAAAACUUUUUUGGAAUAAAAUAAAUGAAGUUUUAAAGAAACGGUAAAAUAUUUUUUAAGAUAAAACUAAGACACUUAGUAUUUGAUUAUAAAACUUCUGAAGAAGAAUAUAUUGACUUUAACUAUUUUUUAACAAUUGUGGGUUUUUCAAUUAACAAAGUUUACUACGUAUCUGAUCAAAAGACAAAAAAUGUAAAAAUUUUCUCAAUUUUUCUCAAUGAGUUCAAUAGAAAAGUAUGUUUGAAAAUUAAAAGUAAUGUUUUAGCAACUAUUAGAAAACAUAUGAAUAGUCAUAUUAAGUGAUUAAGUGAUAUUAUUUAAUGUAUAUUUGAUGUACAGAAUGUAAUAUGUAUUUUACAACUAAUCACUACCCUGAGUGAUUAGUGGAUUGUAACAGGGAACAUCAUAAGGAGCUUGGACUCCUGAAGGAUAUUGUAACAAGCCAAUAUGUGUAUUCCAUAUGAUCUACUUUUUAUGUCAUUGUGUUUAUUAAUAAAUAUGAAAUUUGAUUAGUUGAAAUAUCAGUAUACGAACUCAAGUUAAGUUUUAUCAGUUCAAUAUAUUAAAACAUCGUCUCCUUAUGUUUCUUUCGUCUUUUCAUACGCAUUCCAAAAACGAUCAAGCAUGUCAGUAACUCAGUUUUAGUAAUUUGUUCGUCUCAAUUUGUAUAGUGUGUUAGCCUGCAUCUACAGUGCUUUGAAACAAAUUGCCUUUUUAACCUCGUCGAAUAGAAAUAAUUCGCGGUGCUUGAUUUCUUUUCUUAAUAACUUAAGUAAAAAUAGCUUUAAGACGGAUAAUAUUCAAUUAACCUGUUUAUCAUUGCUGAAAUAUAAUCUUUUAGAAUAUAUACAUAUCAUAAAUCCAUCUUUAUGUACAUAUAUUUUCAGCCAAAUCCAUGACAAGAAAAACUCCAUCGCCGAAAUCAAGAAGAGCGACUCGUACAUCAUUCAGACAUUCCGACAACACUAUAUCAAGAUUUUAUUCUGCAAAAGCCGGUUCCAGCUAUUCAG
This 9627-nucleotide long non-coding RNA is filed under the name Mytilus galloprovincialis (Mediterranean mussel). Lineage: Eukaryota; Metazoa; Mollusca; Bivalvia; Mytilida; Mytilidae. The record is from RNAcentral.